This is a long non-coding RNA of Vigna unguiculata (cowpea), 326 nucleotides long. RefSeq lists it as uncharacterized. Lineage: Eukaryota; Viridiplantae; Streptophyta; Magnoliopsida; Fabales; Fabaceae. The record is from RefSeq and is a predicted model, not a curated record.
UAUACUAACCCAUAACAAAGAAUUAUUUUGGAGAGUUAAAGUGAAGAGUUACCAACUUAACAUUACUCAAAGAUCAUUUAACAUGAAGUUCAUCACUUCAAUUUUGUUCCUACUGCUUGUUCUUUCCAUGGAAAUUGAAAAUGAAGGAGCAAUGAAAAUGGUAGAAGCAGAAGUGUGUGCAGAAGAGUUCAACUGGCCAGAUUGUAGUUUAUUCUCGUGUAAAACUGAAUGUAUCAAAAGACAUGGAAAAUCUGCGACUGCAAUGUGUGAUGACAUUUUUUUAUGCAUUUGCAAUUUCCCUUGUAAUUAGGCCUUUCGUUUUAUCA